This 231-nucleotide ribosomal RNA is filed under the name uncultured eukaryote. RNAcentral's name for it is "partial 18S ribosomal RNA". It matches the Rfam family "Eukaryotic small subunit ribosomal RNA", at positions 1208 to 1456 of the family's 1831-position model. The record is from RNAcentral.
GGAAAACUCACCAGGUCCAGACAUAGUAAGGAUUGACAGAUUGAUAGAUCUUUCUUGAUUCUAUGGGUGGUGGUGCAUGGCCGUUCUUAGUUGGUGGAGUGAUUUGUCUGCUUAAUUGCGUUAACGAACGAGACCUUCACGUACUAAAUAGGAAACUGAAUCUUCGGAUUUGGACUUUCACUUCUUAGACGGACUGUUGGCUUUUAAGCCAUCGGAAGCAGGAGGCAAUAA